AUGAAUAUCGCCCUCCUCUCCCACUGGCUUUGGCGCAUCUCGCAAGGGCACGGUGGCCUUUGGCUUGACAUCAUCCAUAACAAAUACUUGCGCGGACAGCCCCUUGCCUUUUGCCAGAAGUCCGGCGGAUCUCAGUUCUGGCAGUCGAUUGUCCAGCUUCUCCCGGUCCUCCGUAUCGGGACCUCCAUCUCGGUGGGCUCUGGAGCAUCGAUGCUGUUCUGGUUUGAUCACUGGGCCGGGGACACUCCCUUCAUGGCUCACUUUCAUGGCCUCUUCUCCAUCUCCGUCGACCCCGUGAUUUCUAUUGAGAGGGCCCUUCUUGACUUAGGGUGCCUUGCUUUCCGGCGGGCCUUUGGCCCCAUGGAAUCCGUCGCCUGGCGUGAGUUUCUUGACUGUGUUGCUCUCCAUGAACCGAUGGUAGAUGGUGGCCCUGACCUGGUGCAAUGGCGCCUUGAGCCUUCGGGCCAAUUCUCCACCAAGUCAUUGUACAUGGCCAUCGCUCCAUCUUCCGCCCUCCCCCUAUCGAUGGUAUGGUCCAUCCGCCUGCCCCUGAAGAUCCGUAUCUUCAUGUGGCAAUGGAUUCGCGGUCGGAUCCCGUCCGGGGUGGAGGUGCGCAAGCAAAAUGGCCCGGGUACUGGCAUUUCCCUGCUUUGUGGGGUCCCUGAAGACUCGAACCACAUUUUCUUCUCCUGCGUGUCCGCUUAG
RNAcentral lists this ribosomal RNA (705 nucleotides) under Triticum aestivum (bread wheat). RNAcentral describes it as "partial small subunit ribosomal RNA". Lineage: Eukaryota; Viridiplantae; Streptophyta; Magnoliopsida; Poales; Poaceae. The record is from RNAcentral.